This 647-nucleotide long non-coding RNA is filed under the name Gopherus agassizii (Agassiz's desert tortoise). RNAcentral's name for it is "lncRNA (ENSGAGG00000019902.1)". The record is from RNAcentral. Lineage: Eukaryota; Metazoa; Chordata; Testudines; Testudinidae.
AAAUCAAAAUUUUGAAUCCUAAGCCUUUGAAAAAUCAGUUGUAGUAAUGUUCCCUUGUGUUUCAGGUUCAGUGAUAUACACUUUGUAUCAAGGAAAAAAGCAGAUAUAAAAUGAGCUGGGUUGUGGAAGAAUGGAAAGAAGGCCUUUCCACAAGGGCCUUCAGAAGAUUCAAGAGUUUCAAAGUCAACUAGGCAAGCUUAAAAAAGAAUGACAGCAAAGACAGUUUCAGCUUGAAUUGCUGGAGGUAGCUUUGCAAAAGCAGAAGCAGAAGGUUGAAAAUGAAAAAAAUGAAGGAGCAACACUAAAAAGAGAAAACCAGAGCUUGGUGGAAUUGUGUGAUAAUCUUGAGAAAACGAAGCAGAAAAUUUUACAUGAUCUUCAAGUAAAAGAAUCAUAAGUUAAUUAUCAAGCAGGACAACUAACUUCAAGCAAGAAACAAAUUGAAAGACUAGAACGGAAACUUAAAAGGUACAAAUCUGAACUUGAGAGAAGUCAGCAAACAUUGAUUACAGAAGACUUAUCACUCAGUAGUACACCACAGAAGAACUUUACUGCUCUUUUAACACCGAAUCAAAAUCACAAUGGUCACUCCCCCACUCCCCCUCUAGUAUGCAAUUGAAUAAAAUGUGAAUUCCUUUGAAAGUACG